RNAcentral lists this ribosomal RNA (492 nucleotides) under uncultured bacterium. RNAcentral describes it as "partial 16S ribosomal RNA". It matches the Rfam family "Bacterial small subunit ribosomal RNA", at positions 29 to 507 of the family's 1533-position model. The record is from RNAcentral.
AGUGAACGCUGGCGGUAGGCCUAACACAUGCAAGUCGAACGGCAGCACAGUAAGAGCUUGCUCUUACGGGUGGCGAGUGGCGGACGGGUGAGGAAUACAUCGGAAUCUACUUUUUCGUGGGGGAUAACGUAGGGAAACUUACGCUAAUACCGCAUACGACCUACGGGUGAAAGCAGGGGAUCUUCGGACCUUGCGCGAUUGAAUGAGCCGAUGUCGGAUUAGCUAGUUGGCGGGGUAAGGGCCCACCAAGGCGACGAUCCGUAGCUGGUCUGAGAGGAUGAUCAGCCACACUGGAACUGAGACACGGUCCAGACUCCUACGGGAGGCAGCAGUGGGGAAUAUUGGACAAUGGGCGCAAGCCUGAUCCAGCCAUACCGCGUGGGUGAAGAAGGCCUUCGGGUUGUAAAGCCCUUUUGUUGGGAAAGAAACGCAGCAGGUUAAUACCCCGCUGUUCUGACGGUACCCAAAGAAUAAGCACCGGCUAACUUCGUG